UACCAAAACUCUUUUGUAUUUUAGUGGCCUCUCUGAGAAAACAAGCAAAUAAGUUAAAACUUUCAACAACGGAUCUCUUGGUUCUGGCAUCGAUGAAGAACGCAGCGAAAUGCGAUAAGUAAUGUGAAUUGCAGAAUUCAGUGAAUCAUCGAAUCUUUGAACGCACAUUGCGCCCGCCAGUACUCUGGCGGGCAUGCCUGUUCGAGCGUCAUUUCAACCCUCAAGCCCUGCUUGGUGUUGGGGUCCUACGGCUGCCGUAGGCCCUGAAAGCUAGUGGCGGGCUCGCUAUAACUCCGAGCGUAGUAGUAAAAUAUCUCGCUAGGGAGGUGUCGCGGGUUCCGGCCGUGAAAGCCCAUCUUUUACACAAGGUUGACCUCGGAUCAGGUAGGAAUACCCGCUGAACUUAAGCAUAUCAAUAAGCGGAGGAAAAGAAACCAACAGGGAUUGCCCCAGUAACGGCGAGUGAAGCGGCAACAGCUCAAAUUUGAAAUCUGGCUUCGGCCCGAGUUGUAAUUUGUAGAGGAUGCUUUUGGUGAGGUGCCUUCUGAGUUCCCUGGAACGGGACGCCAGAGAGGGUGAGAGCCCCGUAUAGUUGGACACCGAGCCUCUGUAAAGCUCCUUCGACGAGUCGAGUAGUUUGGGAAUGCUGCUCAAAAUGGGAGGUAUAUCUCUUCUAAAGCUAAAUACUGGCCAGAGACCGAUAGCGCACAAGUAGAGUGAUCGAAAGAUGAAAAGCACUUUGAAAAGAGGGUUAAAUAGUACGUGAAAUUGUUGAAAGGGAAGCGCUUGUGACCAGACUUGUGCCCGGCUGAUCAUCCAGUGUUCUCACUGGUGCACUCUGCCGGGCUCAGGCCAGCGUCGGUU
RNAcentral lists this ribosomal RNA (864 nucleotides) under Sordariomycetes sp. genotype 16. RNAcentral describes it as "eukaryotic LSU rRNA". The stretch from base 371 to 864 matches the Rfam family "Eukaryotic large subunit ribosomal RNA", at positions 1 to 507 of the family's 3401-position model. RNAcentral also lists the same sequence under 1 other name. Lineage: Eukaryota; Fungi; Ascomycota; Sordariomycetes. The record is from RNAcentral.